Molecule: transfer RNA, 78 nt
Filed under: Enterobacter cancerogenus
Lineage: Bacteria; Pseudomonadati; Pseudomonadota; Gammaproteobacteria; Enterobacterales; Enterobacteriaceae
Description: tRNA-Ile(gat)
Rfam family: tRNA
About the family: Transfer RNA (tRNA) molecules are approximately 80 nucleotides in length. Their secondary structure includes four short double-helical elements and three loops (D, anti-codon, and T loops). Further hydrogen bonds mediate the characteristic L-shaped molecular structure. tRNAs have two regions of fundamental functional importance: the anti-codon, which is responsible for specific mRNA codon recognition, and the 3' end, to which the tRNAs corresponding amino acid is attached (by aminoacyl-tRNA synthetases). tRNAs cope with the degeneracy of the genetic code in two manners: having more than one tRNA (with a specific anti-codon) for a particular amino acid; and 'wobble' base-pairing, i.e. permitting non-standard base-pairing at the 3rd anti-codon position.
Source: RNAcentral
AGGCCUUGUAGCUCAGGUGGUUAGAGCGCACCCCUGAUAAGGGUGAGGUCGGUGGUUCAAGUCCACUCAGGCCUACCA